Brassica napus (rape) is the source of this 896-nucleotide long non-coding RNA. RefSeq lists it as uncharacterized. The record is from RefSeq and is a predicted model, not a curated record. The transcript is spliced from 2 exons. Lineage: Eukaryota; Viridiplantae; Streptophyta; Magnoliopsida; Brassicales; Brassicaceae.
AAUUGCCACUAAUACCAUUUUACUAAUACCACUUUUCAACUUUACACUUUUCAAUUUUACCAUUAAAAUUUUAAUAGACAAAGUACCAUUAUACCCUUGAAUAAAUAAACCUAAAUCUCUCUUUCUCCCCUAAUUCCAAAUCUGAGAGUUCCUAAAUUGAUUUCGAAUUCGACGGUGAUCAAAUCCGACGACACUAACGAGUUCUCCGGACGGCGCUGGCGAGUUCUCCGGCGGAUUUGACGGCGCUGACGAAUUCUCCGACGAAGCUGAGACGAUCUCUUACUUGAGAAAUAAGGACGGUGGCGUCGAGCGUUGAUUCGCUUCUGGAGAAGCUCAAACAGGAGGAGCUUUACCUUCCACCAACUCGUGCUUCUCCUCUAUCUUCUUCCUUUGUCUCUGAAUAAAGCUUGGUUAGGUUGGCGUUGAAUGUUCUGCAAGGUGUUGAGUCUUCUCUUAUUAGCAUACAUAAGCUCUCUUAUGUAUUAUGCUCUGAGCCAGCCGAUAGGACAACCCACCAAAGUCUGAGCUUGUGGCAUCAGUUAUCAAGCACUGACGCCUUGGGACAGAUUCUUUGAAACAUAUGAUGCUUUGGUUCUUUGGUUUUUCUUCUCCAUAACUUUGUAGACCCAUUUCAUGAACUUCAAGUUGGAAGUUGAGGGACAGGGGAGAGCUGUAAAGUAGGUGAAAAUGAAGAAGCCAAUAACAAGAGCUGCUAUACUCUUGUUAAUCAGGCUUUUGCUAUUGCUGUGAGAAAAGUCCUAGAAGGCUAUAUAUCUGGUCUGGAUACAUUAUGUGCAUCUGCAGAACUGAGGCGUUCAUCUAACAUUGUGGUUUUGUAAACCCUUUAUAAAUUUUUAUAAACUAUUAUAAAUUCAGAAACCCCAAGUAUCUCUCAA